UACGUAGGUGGCAAGCGUUGUCCGGAAUUAUUGGGCGUAAAGCGCGCGCAGGCGGUCCUUUAAGUCUGAUGUGAAAGCCCACGGCUCAACCGUGGAGGGUCAUUGGAAACUGGGGGACUUGAGUACAGAAGAGAAGAGUGGAAUUCCACGUGUAGCGGUGAAAUGCGUAGAGAUGUGGAGGAACACCAGUGGCGAAGGCGACUCUUUGGUCUGUAACUGACGCUGAGGCACGAAAGCGUGGGGAUCAAACAGG
This 253-nucleotide ribosomal RNA is filed under the name uncultured bacterium. RNAcentral describes it as "partial 16S ribosomal RNA". It matches the Rfam family "Bacterial small subunit ribosomal RNA", at positions 524 to 776 of the family's 1533-position model. The record is from RNAcentral.